CCUACGGGCGGCAGCAGUGGGGAAUAUUGCACACUGGGGGCAACCCUGAUGCAGCGACGCCGCGUGAGUGAAGAAGUAUUUCGGUAUGUCAAGCUCUAUCAGCAGGGAAGAAAAUGACGGUACCUGACUAAGAAGCCCCGGCUAACUACGUACCAGCAGCCGCGGUAAUACGUAGGGGGCACGCGUUAUCCGGAUGUACUGGGUGGAAAGGGCGCGUAGACGGCAGCGCAAGUCUGAAGUGAAAUCCCAUGGCUUAACCAUGGAACUGCGUUGGAAACUGUGCAGCGGGAGUGCAGGAGAGGUAAGCGGAAUUCCUAGUGUAGCGGUGAAAUGCGUAGAUAUUAGGAGGAACACCAGUGGCGAAGGCGGCUUACUGGACUGUAACUGACGUUGAGGCUCGAAAGCGUGGGGAGCAAACAGGAUUAGAUACCCUGGUAGUC
RNAcentral lists this ribosomal RNA (440 nucleotides) under uncultured bacterium. Its description in RNAcentral is "partial 16S ribosomal RNA". It matches the Rfam family "Bacterial small subunit ribosomal RNA", at positions 338 to 795 of the family's 1533-position model. The record is from RNAcentral.